UAAGGAGGCGCUGUCCUGGCGUCGGAUGGGGACGGGGAACGCGGCGAGGGCGCUGCGACCUCUGCCCACCUGGCCCGGCCGCAGUCUCGGAGUUCCUGUUCCUCACAGGAGCUAAUUAUUUAUGACAGCUGCAUGGUUCCCCUCCCCCAGUUACUCAGUGCUUGGCACUCGGCACCCCUUACUCAGCACUCAGUACCGCACUCGGCCUCAGGGGACCUGGGCAGAGGGAAGCAGGGAGUCUCCCGCGGAAACUCUUGCUCUGCCAAAGUGUGAUGUGAUCUGACUGCUGCUCAGGGCCUGGACAGCAAAUGAGGAAGACUUAUUGCAGAAAUUCAGAGCCUAGUGACCUGGACCAGGGUGGAGGCAGCAGAGGAGAGAAACAGAUGAUCAAGACUCUGCUAGCAGGAGAAAAAGAGAGAAAAGAGAGAUGAAAAAGUCUUGUGUGACCAGAAGCUUAUCAACCUUGUGUGCUGUUGGCUUACUUUAACAUUUACAGCAGAUGAUAGAAUUGUGUUCAGAUGACACAAUAAGGUAUCAAAUGACUUCACGAAAGCAAGACGGCACUGAACCCCAAGUUUGUGCCUUCAGUCUCUCGCCUCGGCACCUAGGUAAUCCUUUGCCCACAGGACCACACCACCCUCCCCCAGUGAGAGGAACCAGAGUGACGGGAAAGGGAAGCCCCACACAACCAGCACUCGAGGCCCGGCCCACUGGGAGCACUGGGUGGCCUGGCCUGGGAAAGCCCCUUGUGCCCCUUGGGUGGCACCAGCAGGUACCCGUGGGAGCUCCAGCAGCACCAGACAAACCAAGCAGACCCAAGAUAGCACCAUGAAGGCUCUGAACAUCAAAUUGUCACUGGAAGCAUGGCCUGCAGAAGCGGGCCACAAUCCUCACACUAAACCUAAGCAGAGCGACUGGCUGCAAAAAGGAAAGACUUAAAAAAUAGGAUCCAGAGACCUUCCUCUUCCUCAUGAGUUUUCCAAAUCACACUUGAUUGAAACAAAAACGUUAGCACCAUCUGAGACUCAGGACAGUGAUAUUUAUGAGCGGGGAGGGUAAAGGAAGCUCCAUGCUAUAAGUUCCGCACCUCGCUUGAAGUAGGAAAAGGCCACGGCACGCAGGACUCACUGAGUGGCUACCAAAAGAAACCAACGCUGAGCUAUAGCAUGGCAAGCUAAUACUACAUUUUGGAAAAGCACGCAUAUUGAAAUUUGCGUCAUUUGUGCUAUUAUUUGUGCUAUUAUAAAGACCUGACGCCUGGUGGAACCGUGCUUACAAUGUGUGGGUACUUAAACGCGUGUUCUGAAAAACUCCUCUGCUGCUUCUUCCUCUGAUUUCACAUUCGGUAAACCUGCAAGUGCACACAUUUCAUCCCCUUGCAAGACUGUUGUCAGUGCUCAGUAAGUCUACAUUUUACAUAGGAUGAGGUGAUUACAAAGAUGGCACCAUGGAUAAACGACACUACCUGUGUUAGCAGUUGUGACUUUUCCUUCU
RNAcentral lists this long non-coding RNA (1494 nucleotides) under Homo sapiens (human). RNAcentral describes it as "HSALNT0344465". Lineage: Eukaryota; Metazoa; Chordata; Mammalia; Primates; Hominidae. The record is from RNAcentral.